AUUGAGCGCUGGCGGCAUGCCUAACACAUGCAAGUCGAACGCGAAAGAGGGGCAACUCUCGAGUAGAGUGGCGGACGGGUAAGUAAUACGUAGGAAUCUGCCCUAGAGUGGGGGAUAACCUGUCGAAAGACGGGCUAAUACCGCAUAUACUCUGAGGAGCAAAGGUGACUAGCAAUAGCCUUCGCUUUAGGAUGAGCCUACGUCGGAUUAGCUAGUUGGUAGGGUAAUGGCCUAACAAGGCGACAAUCCGUAGCUGGUCUGAGAGGACGAUCAGCCACACUGGAACUGAGACACGGUCCAGACUCCUACGGGAGGCAGCAGUGGGGAAUAUUGGACAAUGGGGGAAACCCUGAUCCAGCAAUGCCGCGUGUGCGAUGAAGGCCUGCGGGUUGUAAAGCACUUUCGUUGGGGAAGAAAUGCUCAAAGAUAAUACAUUUGAGAGCUGACGUUACCCAAAGAAGAAGCACCGGCAAACUCUGUGCCAGCCGCCGCGGUAA
Molecule: ribosomal RNA, 497 nt
Filed under: uncultured bacterium
Lineage: Bacteria
Description: partial 16S ribosomal RNA
Rfam family: Bacterial small subunit ribosomal RNA
Source: RNAcentral